This is an RNA transcript of Mus pahari (shrew mouse), 1198 nucleotides long. It is a transcript of the gene named prothymosin alpha pseudogene, with no coding region annotated. The record is from RefSeq and is a predicted model, not a curated record. The transcript has a single exon. Lineage: Eukaryota; Metazoa; Chordata; Mammalia; Rodentia; Muridae.
UGCCUACUCCGAAAAGCCAUCUUUGCAUUGUUCCCGGGUCGUGCUCUGUGCUCGCUGCAGCCACCCUCGCAGCCCACCGCCUCCUCCAGUGCAGACUCCGGCAGCUCUCUCACUAGAGCCCUCGAACUCGACUUGAUUUCCCUCCCUUGUGGCAUCGGACCACCGGCGUGCUCCACCAUGUCAGACGCCGCAGUGGACACCAGCUCCAAGAUCACCACCAAGGACUUGAAGGAGAAGAAGGAAGUUGUGGAGGAGGCAGAGAAUGGAAGAGAUGCACCUGCCAAUGGGAAUGCUCAAAAUGAGGAAAAUGGGGAGCAGGAGGCUGACAAUGAGGUAGAUGAAGAAGAGGAAGAAGGUGGGGAGGAAGAGGAGGAGGAGGAAGAAGGUGAUGGUGAGGAAGAGGAUGGAGAUGAAGAUGAGGAAGCUGAGGCUCCUACGGGCAAGCGGGUAGCUGAAGAUGAUGAGGAUGAUGAUGUCGACACCAAGAAGCAGAAGACUGAGGAGGAUGACUAGACAGCAAGAGGAAAAGUAACCUUACUCACCGUGACCUAUUCAUCCUCCAUUUCCUGUCUCAGAAUUUAAACGUGGUCACCUCCGAAUAGAGAAGCAGGCCCCGCCCACAGCGGGCAAUGCCACCCACAGAUGACAUGUGCUCUCCACCACCCCACCAAAACUACAACAUGAAUUGGCAACAUGGGAGGAAAAAAGAACCAGAACUUCCCAGGCCCUGCUUUUUUUCUUAAAAAUACUUUAAAAGUAAAAUUUGUUUGUAUUUUUUAUUUACAUUUUAUAUUUUUGUACAUAUUGUUAGGGGUCAGCCAUUUUUAAUGGUAACGGGUGACCAAACCAGCCUUCAGAGUGUUUCUGUCCUACUUCAGACUUUACUUGUGGUGUAACCGUGUUCAUUAUAAUCUCAAAGGAGAAAAAAAAAACCUUAUUAAAAAAAAAGCAAAAGCAACAACAAAAAAAUCUUAUUCCGAGCAUUCCAGUAACUUUUGUGUAUGUACCUAGCUGUACUAUAAGUAGUUGGUUUGUAUGAGAUGGUUAAAAAGGCCAAAGAUAAAAAGUUUUUUUUUUCCUUUUCUUUCUAUGAAGUUGCUGUUUGUUUAUUUAUUUAUUUAUUUUGGCCGUUUGAUGUAUGUGUGAAACAAUGUCCAACAAUAAACCGGAAUUUUAUUUUGCUGAGUUGUUCUAAAAA